Molecule: ribosomal RNA, 758 nt
Filed under: Serratia marcescens
Lineage: Bacteria; Pseudomonadati; Pseudomonadota; Gammaproteobacteria; Enterobacterales; Yersiniaceae
Description: bacterial SSU rRNA
Rfam family: Bacterial small subunit ribosomal RNA
Source: RNAcentral
AUUGAACGCUGGCGGCAGGCUUAACACAUGCAAGUCGAGCGGUAGCACAGGGGAGCUUGCUCCCUGGGUGACGAGCGGCGGACGGGUGAGUAAUGUCUGGGAAACUGCCUGAUGGAGGGGGAUAACUACUGGAAACGGUAGCUAAUACCGCAUAACGUCGCAAGACCAAAGAGGGGGACCUUCGGGCCUCUUGCCAUCAGAUGUGCCCAGAUGGGAUUAGCUAGUAGGUGGGGUAAUGGCUCACCUAGGCGACGAUCCCUAGCUGGUCUGAGAGGAUGACCAGCCACACUGGAACUGAGACACGGUCCAGACUCCUACGGGAGGCAGCAGUGGGGAAUAUUGCACAAUGGGCGCAAGCCUGAUGCAGCCAUGCCGCGUGUGUGAAGAAGGCCUUCGGGUUGUAAAGCACUUUCAGCGAGGAGGAAGGUGGUGAGCUUAAUACGCUCAUCAAUUGACGUUACUCGCAGAAGAAGCACCGGCUAACUCCGUGCCGGCAGCCGCGGUAAUACGGAGGGUGCAAGCGUUAAUCGGAAUUACUGGGCGUAAAGCGCACGCAGGCGGUUUGUUAAGUCAGAUGUGAAAUCCCCGGGCUCAACCUGGGAACUGCAUUUGAAACUGGCAAGCUAGAGUCUCGUAGAGGGGGGUAGAAUUCCAGGUGUAGCGGUGAAAUGCGUAGAGAUCUGGAGGAAUACCGGUGGCGAAGGCGGCCCCCUGGACGAAGACUGACGCUCAGUGCGAAAGCGUGGGGAGCAAACAAG